GAUGAACGCUAGCGGCAGGCCUAACACAUGCAAGUCGAGGGGUAACAGGUGUAGCAAUACAUGCUGACGACCGGCGCACGGGUGAGUAACGCGUAUGCAACCUACCUUCAGCUGGGAGAUAACCCGGAGAAAUCCGGACUAAUAUCCCAUAACAUUAUCGGGUCGCAUGAUCUGGUAAUUAAAGCUCCGGCGGCUGAAGAUGGGCAUGCGUGGCAUUAGCUUGUUGGUGAGGUAACGGCUCACCAAGGCAACGAUGCCUAGGGGGUCUGAGAGGAUGAUCCCCCACACUGGUACUGAGACACGGACCAGACUCCUACGGGAGGCAGCAGUGAGGAAUAUUGGGCAAUGGACGCAAGUCUGACCCAGCCAUGCCGCGUGCAGGAUGAAGGCCCUAGUGGUUGUAAACUGCUUUUGUACGGGAAGAAACCUCCGCACGUGUGCGGGGCUGACGGUACCGUAUGAAUAAGCAUCGGCUAACUCCGUGCCAGCAGCCGCGGUAAUACGGAGGAUGCGAGCGUUAUCCGGAUUCAUUGGGUUUAAAGGGUGCGUAGGCGGAGUGAUAAGUCAGUGGUGAAAUCCUGCGGCUUAACCGUAGAACUGCCGUUGAUACUGUCAUUCUUGAGUACAGUUGAGGUGGGUGGAAUGUGUAAUGUAGCGGUGAAAUGCAUAGAGAUUACACAGAACGCCAAUUGCGAAGGCAGCUCACUAAGCUGUUACUGACGCUGAGGCACGAAAGCGUGGGGAUCAAACAGGAUUAGAUACCCUGGUAGUCCACGCCGUAAACGAUGAUCACUCGCUGUUGGCGAUAUACUGUCAGCGGCCGAGCAAAAGCAUUAAGUGAUCCACCUGGGGAGUACGACCGCAAGGUUGAAACUCAAAGGAAUUGACGGGGACCCGCACAAGCGGAGGAACAUGUGGUUCAAUUCGAUGAUACGCGAGGAACCUUACCUGGGCUUAAAUGCAGAACGACAGGCUGGGAAACUGGCCCUUCUUCGGACGGUCUGCAAGGUGCUGCAUGGUUGUCGUCAGCUCGUGCCGUGAGGUGUCGGGUUAAGUCCCAUAACGAGCGCAACCCUUAUCGUUAGUUGCCAACGGGUCAUGCCGGGGACUCUAACGAAACUGCCGGCGUAAGCCGUGAGGAAGGUGGGGAUGACGUCAAAUCAGCACGGCCCUUAUGUCCAGGGCUACACACGUGUUACAAUGGCCGGAACAAAGGGCUGCUAUGCCGCGAGGCAAUGCUAAUCUCUAAAACCGGUCUCAGUUCGGAUCGAAGUCUGCAAUUCGACUUCGUGAAGUUGGAUUCGCUAGUAAUCGCGCAUCAGCAAUGGCGCGGUGAAUACGUUCCCGGGUCUUGUACACACCGCCCGUCAAGCCAUGGAAGCUGGGAGUGCCUGAAGUCCGUGACCGCAAGGAGCGGCCUAGGGUAAAACCAGUGACUGGGGCU
RNAcentral lists this ribosomal RNA (1444 nucleotides) under uncultured bacterium. Its description in RNAcentral is "bacterial SSU rRNA". It matches the Rfam family "Bacterial small subunit ribosomal RNA". The record is from RNAcentral.